Molecule: non-coding RNA, 67 nt
Organism: Potamilus streckersoni
Lineage: Eukaryota; Metazoa; Mollusca; Bivalvia; Unionida; Unionidae
Source: the annotation of a GenBank genome assembly
GUGGCCUAGUGGUUAGAGCAUCCGCCUCGGACGCGGGAGGUCUUGGUUUCGAUCUCCGGCCGAGUCA